GAUGAACGCUGGCGGCGUGCCUAAUACAUGCAAGUCGAGCGAACAGACGAGGAGCUUGCUCCUCUGACGCUAGCGGCGGACGGGUGAGUAACACGUGGAUAACCUACCUAUAAGACUGGGAUAACUUCGGGAAACCGGAGCUAAUACCGGAUAAUAUAUUGAACCGCAUGGUUCAAUAGUGAAAGACGGUUUUGCUGUCACUUAUAGCUGGAUCCGCGCCGCAUUAGCUAGUUGGUAAGGUAACGGCUUACCAAGGCGACGAUGCGUAGCCGACCUGAGAGGGUGAUCGGCCACACUGGAACUGAGACACGGUCCAGACUCCUACGGGAGGCAGCAGUAGGGAAUCUUCCGCAAUGGGCGAAAGCCUGACGGAGCAACGCCGCGUGAGUGAUGAAGGUCUUCGGAUCGUAAAACUCUGUUAUUAGGGAAGAACAAAUGUGUAAGUAACUAUGCACGUCUUGACGGUACCUAAUCAGAAAGCCACGGCUAACUACGUG
Molecule: ribosomal RNA, 497 nt
Filed under: uncultured bacterium
Lineage: Bacteria
Description: partial 16S ribosomal RNA
Rfam family: Bacterial small subunit ribosomal RNA
Source: RNAcentral